Molecule: long non-coding RNA, 3265 nt
Organism: Acinonyx jubatus (cheetah)
Lineage: Eukaryota; Metazoa; Chordata; Mammalia; Carnivora; Felidae
Exons: 3
Source: RefSeq, a predicted model, not a curated record
GGCACCGCGUUGCUGUGGGAAUUAAUCAAGCUGCAGAGUGGUGGGGGCUGAGUGAGGGAGGUCACGGUGUAUUUCAUAUCCUCUCGUCUACAAAUAUGUGAGCAAUCUGACCAACCAGACUCCUCUCUCCUGGGUGGCAGCAAAUGCCACCUGAGUUUGGAAAGCUGUCAGAGGUCAUGGGUACGGAAACCCUGUUUUUGGCCAGAAUGAUUCACGAAUUCUGAAAGCCAGGCCCCUGAAGGGUUUUGUUUUGUUUGGUGUCUUGCCUCUUAUUAUCAACUUUGGUUCCACUUGCUUUUUAUUUUCUGUUUCCACAGCAUUAAACUCUCAUGACUCCUGCUGAUAACACCCUCUCCUUCCUCCAAGGCUUUACCAAAGCAGAACGUCAAGUGCCAGUGGCUCGUUUUUCUCGGUGAUAGCACUUGGCAGUCUCCGGAGCCUGCCAGCUCCGCAACUGGGGCCAAGAUGACAGAGUCAUGCUGAAUACUGCAGCGCCUUCAGCUGUAAUAGCAGGCUGGGAUUUGGAACUCGGUGGGAAUUCUUCUUGGGGCAGCUCACAGUGUGUCAGCCCUGACUUGUGCGCUCGAUGAGACGGGAAGGUCCGGAGAGCUAAGUUACAAGACCCUCCCCACUUCCUCCUUCCCUCACUCGCGCUGUUUAUGGCUAAUUGUACGUUUCUUUGGACUGGGCACUCUGCUGGGCACAGGGAUUAGGACCCGAACUAGGGAGAUACAGACACGAAAAUGGGUCUGCAGGCUGGACAUCCAAGACCAAGGUGCCUGCUGGCACAGUUGCUGUCUCGUGGAACCUUCUCUCCUUGGCUACAGCCAGCCUCCUCCUCCAGGUGUCUCACCCAGCCUUUCCUCUGUGAGGGUGCGCUUCUGCUGUCUCCUGGUCUUUCUGUAAGGACAUCAGUCCUAUCAGCUCAGGGCCCCACUCUGAAGGACCUCAUUUAACCUUAACUACAUUCUUAAAGGCCCUAUAUCUCUGCAUACAGUCACAUGGGGGGUUAGGGAGCAGCCUGGGUUUUGUGGGGACAGAAGUUGGUCCAUAAUGCUUCUCAACUGCCUGGGGGGCAGGCUGGAUCCCUUAGAUUCCACCCACUUCUCUUCUUAGUCUUUUGUCACAUCUAUGAGGACCCUGUGCACCCUGACCUGCACGUCCUAGCUCUGUCCUCCUGUCCCCUGUAUACAGCCACCACUGGCCUCUCCAUCGUAUACAGGAGUCAGGGCAGUGUCCCUAGGAAAAAUGGAUCUUAGAGAGAGGCCCGUGUAGGUCAUGGAAGGGAGUUCCCAGGUCCCCAGGGGCAUGUCCCCCAAGCCCUACAGCACCUCUAACCCUAUGCGGAGCGCUAAGGCUGGAGGAGGGCCAGGGGAGAACCCUCUAAAGGCGGAGGUGGCAACCUCCAGCCUGCGGGCCAACUCCGGCCUACUCCCGUUUUUGUGUACGACCUGCCUGUGAACAAAGGCAAAAUGAAAAAAAAUGUAAAAAAAAAAAAAAAAAAAAAGACUACCAGCCUUUUGGCAAGAACAGCUCAAUUUUGCCUCUUGGAAAGCUCAAAGCCUGAAACAUUUAUCCUCUAGCCCUUAGCAGAAGAAGUCUGCUGAUCUCAGCUCUAAAACACAGGGCAGGGACCCCUGGGUCCCUCAGCACCUUUGAGAGAUACUCUUUCCAAGUGCUGUAUUGAGGAGCUUCCACUGGGCAACACAGAGCUCAAAACCAGCUGCCUCCAAAAGCCACAGUGACCCCUCCCAUCCCCCCUCAGGGUGACCAUGCCACCCCUCCCACCAACAGAUAGAAUUUAUAGCACCUCCCUUAGAAUCUGGGCAUGCUCUGGGCCUUGCUUUGACUUACAGGAUGUGGUUGAAGGGACACAGUUAAGCUCCAGGUGCUGCUUAAGGGAACUUAUGGCUUCUGUUUUUGCCCUCUUGGGAACCAGCCACCGUGCUGAGAAGCUCUGGAUAAACUACUCAAUAGUGACAGAUCUCAUGGAAAGACAGACGACACAGAGGAGAACCCAUGGGGCCGUGGCCAACGGCCAACAGCCCAAGGACAACUUGGAUUCUCCAGGGCCACAGAGCUGUGGUAGCCAAUGCCCCCAGAAGCAGUGAGGAGUCAGGCCUGCCGAGUCCUGCCUGAGGUUCUGACCCACAGAGUCACAGCAUUCACAUGGUUGUUGUUCUAAGCCAUGAAGUUUGGGGGCAGUCAACAGCAACGGAUAAUUGAAACAACUGUCAAAUAACAGACCAAAAAAAAAAUGUAUGGAGGGCUUCCACUGAGGCAGCCAGGGCAAAACUCACGUAAUCUUCGAAGUCAUACUCUGAGGGUGAUACUGUGAUGAUCCCCAUUUGACAGAUGUCACCCCAUGUUCUUAAAAGAGCAGAACUGCAGCGAGAGCUCACUAUACAAUGUUGCAGAAAAAGCCACCUGAAAUCAAAUAGGAAGCUUCCCCUCAGGGGUGGACGGUCUGCAUGGGGCCAAAACACAGUAAAAAGGAAUCAGUCCAGAAUCAAACGUAUUGUCACCUGCCUGCUAGUCCCCCUCUAAGUGCUUCUCAAACUCAGUCACGGCACCCGUCACCGGUCUCUCUCAGGGCGGUGGACGGGGGUGGCUGGUGCUGGGGAAUCAGACAAGAUCCAGAGCCUGGUGCCCACGCGGGACCCUCCCUACCUCAGGCCUUCUCUGCUGAACAGGGAGCUGUUCCAAAUGUUCACUGUGUAUCUGAACAAAAUAACUACUUGUGCAGUAAAGGAAUGACCUAGGAAUUAGGAAUCAAUCCUGUGCCCGUGGGAGCUUUAUUAGUUGGAAUAAAAGACUCCCGAGAAUGGGGAGGUCUCACAGUCUGGUGGUCUUUCUAGAGGCGUUUGGUAACAGGGCAGUAAGCGACAGACUGAGGGCGGAACCCGGCCACUGAUGGCAUUAGGGCAGCCGAUCCGCCCUUGAUGGCCCAGGGUCCCUGCCCUGCCACUUGCUAUCUAUGAGGCCUGGGCAGGUCACCUGUCCUCUCCGUGUCUCCUGUCCCUUGUCUGUAAAACUGGGGUAACACCACUUGCCUCAGAGGCCUAGUGUAAGGUUUCAGCAGGACAACAGACAUAAGCGCGUAGUACGUAGGAGAGAAUGAGUCGGUGUCAGUCAUCACUCUCAAGAUACGUCCCCCUCCAUUGCAAAGUAAGAGGUGAAAUAAGAUGUCAGAAAUCUCUGACCCAUUUUUACGGGACUUAUUUAUUUAUUGUUAUUAAAAAAAUUUUUUUAAUGUUUAUUUUUG